This 253-nucleotide ribosomal RNA is filed under the name uncultured bacterium. RNAcentral describes it as "partial 16S ribosomal RNA". It matches the Rfam family "Bacterial small subunit ribosomal RNA", at positions 524 to 776 of the family's 1533-position model. The record is from RNAcentral.
UACGAAGGGUGCAACCGUUGCUCGGAAUCAUUGGGCGUAAAGCGCACGUAGGCGGCUCCAAAAGUCGGAUGUGAAAUCCCUGGGCUCAACCGAGGAAGUGCAUCCGAAACUGCGGAGCUUGAGUAUGGAAGAGGGUCGCGGAAUUCCCGGUGUAGAGGUGAAAUUCGUAGAUAUCGGGAGGAACACCAGUGGCGAAGGCGGCGACCUGGGCCAAUACUGACGCUGAGGUGCGAAGGCGUGGGGAGCAAACAGG